GUCCUGGUUCGCUGGGGCCUGAGUGGCGCACGGGUGAGUAGCGCGUGGGAACCUGCCCUGGAGUGGGGGAUAACCGAGGGAAACUUCGGCUAAUACCGCAUGCGCCGGAGAGAUCCGGGAAAGAUUUAUCGCUCUAGGAGGGGCCCGCGUCUGAUUAGCUAGUUGGCGGGGUAAUGGCCCACCAAGGCGACGAUCAGUAGCUGGUCUGAGAGGAUGAUCAGCCACACUGGGACUGAGACACGGCCCAGACUCCUACGGGAGGCAGCAGUGGGGAAUAUUGGACAAUGGGCGCAAGCCUGAUCCAGCAAUGCCGCGUGAGUGAUGAAGGCCUUAGGG
This 336-nucleotide ribosomal RNA is filed under the name uncultured bacterium. Its description in RNAcentral is "bacterial SSU rRNA". It matches the Rfam family "Bacterial small subunit ribosomal RNA", at positions 72 to 422 of the family's 1533-position model. The record is from RNAcentral.